GGUUAAGCGACUAAGCGUACACGGUGGAUGCCCCGGCAGUCAGAGGCGAUGAAGGACGUGCUAAUCUGCGAUAAGCGUCGGUAAGGUGAUAUGAACCGUUAUAACCGGCGAUUUCCGAAUGGGGAAACCCAGUGUGUUUCGACACACUAUCAUUAACUGAAUCCAUAGGUUAAUGAGGCGAACCGGGGGAACUGAAACAUCUAAGUACCCCGAGGAAAAGAAAUCAACCGAGAUUCCCCCAGUAGCGGCGAGCGAACGGGGAGCAGCCCAGAGCCUGAAUCAGUGUGUGUGUUAGUGGAAGCGUCUGGAAAGGCGCGCGAUACAGGGUGACAGCCCCGUACACAAAAAUGCACAUGCUGUGAGCUCGAUGAGUAGGGCGGGACACGUGGUAUCCUGUCUGAAUAUGGGGGGACCAUCCUCCAAGGCUAAAUACUCCUGACUGACCGAUAGUGAACCAGUACCGUGAGGGAAAGGCGAAAAGAACCCCGGCGAGGGGAGUGAAAAAGAACCUGAAACCGUGUACGUACAAGCAGUGGGAGCACGCUUAGGCGUGUGACUGCGUACCUUUUGUAUAAUGGGUCAGCGACUUAUAUUCUGUAGCAAGGUUAACCGAAUAGGGGAGCCGAAGGGAAACCGAGUCUUAACUGGGCGUUAAGUUGCAGGGUAUAGACCCGAAACCCGGUGAUCUAGCCAUGGGCAGGUUGAAGGUUGGGUAACACUAACUGGAGGACCGAACCGACUAAUGUUGAAAAAUUAGCGGAUGACUUGUGGCUGGGGGUGAAAGGCCAAUCAAACCGGGAGAUAGCUGGUUCUCCCCGAAAGCUAUUUAGGUAGCGCCUCGUGAAUUCAUCUCCGGGGGUAGAGCACUGUUUCGGCAAGGGGGUCAUCCCGACUUACCAACCCGAUGCAAACUGCGAAUACCGGAGAAUGUUAUCACGGGAGACACACGGCGGGUGCUAACGUCCGUCGUGAAGAGGGAAACAACCCAGACCGCCAGCUAAGGUCCCAAAGUCAUGGUUAAGUGGGAAACGAUGUGGGAAGGCCCAGACAGCCGGGAUGUUGGCUUAGAAGCAGCCAUCAUUUAAAGAAAGCGUAAUAGCUCACUGGUCGAGUCGGCCUGCGCGGAAGAUGUAACGGGGCUAAACCAUGCACCGAAGCUGCGGCAGCGACACUAUGUGUUGUUGGGUAGGGGAGCGUUCUGUAAGCCUGUGAAGGUGUGCUGUGAGGCAUGCUGGAGGUAUCAGAAGUGCGAAUGCUGACAUAAGUAACGAUAAAGCGGGUGAAAAGCCCGCUCGCCGGAAGACCAAGGGUUCCUGUCCAACGUUAAUCGGGGCAGGGUGAGUCGACCCCUAAGGCGAGGCCGAAAGGCGUAGUCGAUGGGAAACAGGUUAAUAUUCCUGUACUUGGUGUUACUGCGAAGGGGGACGGAGAAGGCUAUGUUGGCCGGGCGACGGUUGUCCCGGUUUAAGCGUGUAGGCUGGUUUUCCGGGCAAAUCCGGAAAAUCAAGGCUGAGGCGUGAUGACGAGGCACUACGGUGCUGAAGCAACAAAUGCCCUGCUUCCGGGAAAAGCCUCUAAGCAUCAGGUAACAUCAAAUCGUACCCCAAACCGACACAGGUGGUCAGGUAGAGAAUACCAAGGCGCUUGAGAGAACUCGGGUGAAGGAACUAGGCAAAAUGGUGCCGUAACUUCGGGAGAAGGCACGCUGAUAUGUAGGUGAAGUCCCUUGCGGAUGGAGCUGAAAUCAGUCGAAGAUACCAGCUGGCUGCAACUGUUUAUUAAAAACACAGCACUGUGCAAACACGAAAGUGGACGUAUACGGUGUGACGCCUGCCCGGUGCCGGAAGGUUAAUUGAUGGGGUCAGCGCAAGCGAAGCUCUUGAUCGAAGCCCCGGUAAACGGCGGCCGUAACUAUAACGGUCCUAAGGUAGCGAAAUUCCUUGUCGGGUAAGUUCCGACCUGCACGAAUGGCGUAAUGAUGGCCGGGCUGUCUCCACCCGAGACUCAGUGAAAUUGAACUCGCUGUGAAGAUGCAGUGUACCCGCGGCAAGACGGAAAGACCCCGUGAACCUUUACUAUAGCUUGACACUGAACAUUGAGCCUUGAUGUGUAGGAUAGGUGGGAGGCUUGGAAGUGUGGACGCCAGUCUGCAUGGAGCCGACCUUGAAAUACCACCCUUUAAUGUUUGAUGUUCUAACGUUGACCCGUAAUCCGGGUUGCGGACAGUGUCUGGUGGGUAGUUUGACUGGGGCGGUCUCCUCCUAAAGAGUAACGGAGGAGCACGAAGGUUGGCUAAUCCUGGUCGGACAUCAGGAGGUUAGUGCAAUGGCAUAAGCCAGCUUGACUGCGAGCGUGACGGCGCGAGCAGGUGCGAAAGCAGGUCAUAGUGAUCCGGUGGUUCUGAAUGGAAGGGCCAUCGCUCAACGGAUAAAAGGUACUCCGGGGAUAACAGGCUGAUACCGCCCAAGAGUUCAUAUCGACGGCGGUGUUUGGCACCUCGAUGUCGGCUCAUCACAUCCUGGGGCUGAAGUAGGUCCCAAGGGUAUGGCUGUUCGCCAUUUAAAGUGGUACGCGAGCUGGGUUUAGAACGUCGUGAGACAGUUCGGUCCCUAUCUGCCGUGGGCGCUGGAGAACUGAGGGGGGCUGCUCCUAGUACGAGAGGACCGGAGUGGACGCAUCACUGGUGUUCGGGUUGUCAUGCCAAUGGCACUGCCCGGUAGCUAAAUGCGGAAGAGAUAAGUGCUGAAAGCAUCUAAGCACGAAACUUGCCCCGAGAUGAGUUCUCCCUGACCCUUUAAGGGUCCUGAAGGAACGUUGAAGACGACGACGUUGAUAGGCCGGGUGUGUAAGCGCAGCGAUGCGUUGAGCUAACCGGUACUAAUGAACCGUGAGGCUUAACCUU
This 2902-nucleotide ribosomal RNA is filed under the name Escherichia coli. Its description in RNAcentral is "23S ribosomal RNA". It matches the Rfam family "Bacterial large subunit ribosomal RNA". Lineage: Bacteria; Pseudomonadati; Pseudomonadota; Gammaproteobacteria; Enterobacterales; Enterobacteriaceae. The record is from RNAcentral.